CUAAAAUAUUAAUGAAAAAUUGAUUUUAUGGGGAAAUCAGUUUUAACCUAAUUUUUAGU
This 59-nucleotide transfer RNA is filed under the name Hypocassida meridionalis. RNAcentral describes it as "tRNA-Pro". Lineage: Eukaryota; Metazoa; Arthropoda; Insecta; Coleoptera; Chrysomelidae. The record is from RNAcentral.